Long non-coding RNA from Oncorhynchus tshawytscha (Chinook salmon), 4525 nucleotides. NCBI's taxonomy places the organism in Eukaryota, Metazoa, Chordata, Actinopteri, Salmoniformes, Salmonidae. The record is from Ensembl.
AGGGAGAGGAUAGAUGGAGAGGAGAUGAUAGAGGGAGAGGAUAGAGGGAUAGAGGGAUAGGAGAUGAUAGAGUGAUAGGAGAUAGAGGGAGAGGAUAUAGGGAUUGACGGAUAGGAGAUGAUAGAGGGAUAGGAGAGGAUAGAGGGAGAGGAUAGAGGGAUAGAGGGAUAGGAGAUGAUAGAGGGAGAGGAUAGAGGGAUAGGAGAUGAUAGAGGGAGAGGAUAGGAGAUGAUAGAGGGAUAGGAGAUGAUAGAGGGAGAGGAUAGAGGGAUAGAGGGAUAGGAGAUGAUAGAGGGAGAGGAUAGAGGGAUAGGAGAUGAUAGAGGGAGAGGAUAGGAGAUGAUAGAGGGAGAGGAGAUGAUAGAGGGAUAUGAGAGGAUAGAGGGAGAGAAUAGUGGGGUAGGAGAUGAUAGAGGGAUAGGAGAUGACAGAGGGAGAGGAUUUAGGGAGAGGAGAUUGUAGAGGGAGAGGAUAGAGGGAUAGGAGAUGAUAGAGGGAGAGAAUAGUGGGAUGUGAGACAUGGACAAGGACAAUGUCAGGGACAGAAACACGUGGAUCAGUUGAAAGAAAUGUCUCAAACUAGACUGCUACCAAGGGACCAUCGUAAAAAUCUUCACCUCUCCUCUCUACCGCUCUUCACCUCUCCUUCUCCCCCUCUCUCUCCUUUCCUCCCCCGAUCCAUCUCCUAUCUUCCUUUGCCCCUGCUGUGGGGUAAUGUUUUGCUAAAUGUUUUAGUAUGAGUAUGGGGGACUGUGAGAACCCUAAAAUCACCCCUCUUCUCCUGGAUGUGUUCCCAGUGCUUUGAAAGAGGUCAAAGGUCAUACCUAACUGAUCCCGGACUAUGGUAGAAACCAGAAAAAAAGUAUGGUAGACACCAGGAGCCAGGAAGGGUAGACACCAGGAGUCAGGUAUGAUGACACCAGAAGCCAGGUAGGGGAGACACCAGGAGUCAGGUAUGAUGACACCAGAAGCCAGGUAUGAUGAAACCAGAAGCCAGGUAUGAUGACACCAGGAGCCAGGAAGGGUAAAAAAUAAGGGGCCAGGAAGGGUAGACACCAGGAGCCAGGAAGGGUAGACACCAGGAGUCAGGAAGGAUAGACACCAGGAGCCAGGAAGGGUGGACACCAGGAGCCAGGUAGGGUAGACACCAGGAGCCAGGUAGGGUAGACACCAGGAUCCAGGUAGGGUAGACACCAGAAGCCAGGUAUGGUAGACACCAGAAGCCAGGUAUGGUAGACACCAGAAGACAGGUAUUGUAGACACCAGAAGCCAGGUAUGGUAGACACCAGAAGCCAGGUAUGGUAGACACCAGAAGCCAGGUAUGGUAGACACCAGAAGACAGGUAGACACCAGAAGACAGGUAUGGUAGACACCAGAAGACAGGUAUGGUAUACACCAAAAGACAGAUAUGGUAGACACCAGAAGACAGGAAUGGUAGACACCAGAAGACAGGUAUUGUAGAUGGAGGCCUGAUCUAAUGAAAUGUCAUGGAGGCCUGAUCUAUAGAACUGACAUGGAGGCCCGAUCUAAUGAACUGACAUGGAGGCCUGAUCUAUAGAACUGACAUGGAGGCCUGAUCUAAUGAACUGACAUGGAGGCCUGAUCUAAUGAACUGACAUGGAGGCCUGAUCUAUAGAACUGACAUGGAGGCCUGAUCUAAUGAACUGACAUGGAGGCCUGAUCUAUAGAACUGACAUGGAGGCCUGAUCUAAUGAACUGACAUGGAGGCCUGAUCUAUAGAACUGACAUGGAGGCCUGAUCUAUAGAACUGACAUGGAGGCCUGAUCUAUAGAACUGACAUGGAGGCCCGAUCUAUAGAACUGACAUGGAGGCCUGAUCUAUAGAACUGACAUGGAGGCCUGCUCUAAUGUGCUGACAUGGAGGCCUGAUCUAAUGAACUGAUAUGGAGGCCUGAUCUAAUGAACUGACAUGGAGGCCUGAUCUAAUGAACUGUCAUGGAGGCCUGAUCUAAUGAACUGACAUGGAGGCCUGAUCUAAUGAACUGACAUGGAGGCCUGAUCUAUAGAACUGACAUGGAGGCCUGAUCUAAUGAACUGACAUGGAGGCCUGAUCUAAUGAACUGACAUGGAGGCAGAGACCUUUUCUUUUCAGAACUUCCCUCCAUUGAUCUGCCCCGUUGGCAGUGUAGUCUGGUACGUUGCCUCCCCUGCGCCGAGGUGGCGCCGUCGCCCACAAAAUCAAACAUGGCUGCCAGUGCUUGGUGUUGUCACUCUCAGUGGCAUUGAGCGGGUGCCAGCGGCGGGCAUUCCUUCACCGGAGUUAGCAUUCAGUCUGCAUAGGGCAAGUCAAGCAGGCUUUAGUGUCCCACCCAACCAGAGUCACCACUCUGUGGUGGGGGAUACAAAUGUGGCGAGUCAAUGAAAGUCUCUCUCUCUCACACACACACACACACACACUCAGACAGUCAGACACACACACACACACACUCUCACACACACACACACACACACACACAAUCACUUAGUUAGAAAGUACCAUUCAGGGACACAUCUAGUGAGUUAGACAGGGGCUUUCAAAGAAAUACAUUUAGAAAGAGUCACAUGGUUGCACAUCCACAGAAUGGAGGAACGUGCCCUCAUUCCCCAAUGGCAUGCCAACUUCUCUAUUAGUGUCUGAGCUUUUCCAUGUGAUUUGUGUUCACCAGAAUUAAAUGACAUCAUGUUCAUCACCAUCCGAUGACAUCAUGUUCACCACUAUCCGAUGACAUCAUGUUCACCACCAUCCGAUGACAUCAUGUUCACCACUAUCCGAUGACAUCAUGUUCACCACUAUCCGAUGACAUCAUGUUCACCACUAUCCGAUGACAUCAUGUUCACCACUAUCCGAUGACAUCAUGUUCACCACUAUCCGAUGACAUCAUGUUCACCACUAUCCGAUGACAUCAUGUUCACCACUAUCCGAUGACAUCAUGGUCAUUACCAUCCGAUGACAUCAUGUUCACCACUAUCCGAUGACAUCAUGUUCACCACUAUCCGAUGACAUCAUGGUCAUUACCAUCCGAUGACAUCAUGUUCACCACUAUCCGAUGACAUCAUGUUCACCACUAUCCGAUGACAUCAUGUUCACCACCAUCCGAUGACAUCAUGUUCACCACUAUCCGAUGAUAUCAUGUUCACCACUAUCCGAUGACGUCGUGUUCACCAUUAUCCGAUGACGUCGUGUUCACCAUUAUUCGAUGACGUCAUACCGACAUUAUAAGAUUGCAACUGUAAAAAAGUCAAACACCUGAGCUGAUGCACACCCCAAAAUGUGAUGCGGACUAACGGACAAUAAACUGCUGAAAAAAGAAAGAAAGCAACCACGAUGCGUUGGUUAUUAAGUUCAUCAAUUGGUUAUGAAGCAUGAACACGACCUUGUGCCGUUUCAGUGAGCUGUCAUUACAUGGAGAGUCAUCCAAUGUUUAAAAUGAAAUAUCGUUGGACUGUUCAUCCUAACAUUCACUAAAACAUUGUGCACAUGUUCUAAUAGCACAAAACUCUCCAUUUGUGGUGAUGAUUAUAGAAUAUUUAUAUAAAACCAUUUGCCCGAUGUUGCAAAUACAUUCCUGUAAUAUGUUUAAUCUGUUCUUUGAAAGUUCCCAGAAUGUUUCUUUAGUUGGGUUAACAUUGUGGGGUCAAGAAAGGAGAUAUAUAUUCACAAAACACAAAAUCUGUCCAGGUGUGUAGACAUUCAGAUAAUAUUUGUAUUAGGGUGAACAGAACGUUCCUUUGAUUCCUUACUCCCCUACUCCACCACUACCACAUAUCUACAACACACUGUGUGUCCUCAGGCCCCUACUCCACCACUACCACAUAUCUAUAACACACUGUGUGCCCUCUGGCCCCUCCUCCACCACUACCACAUAUCUACAACACACUGUGUGCCCUCUGGCCCCUCCUCCACCACUACCACAUAUCUACAACACACUGUGUGUCCUCAGGCCCCUCCUCCACUACUACCACAUAUCUACAACACACUGUGUGCCCUCAGGCCCCUCCUCCACUACUACCACAUAUCUACAACACACUGUGUGUCCUCAGGCCCCUCCUCCACCACUACCACAUAUCUACAACACACUGUGUGCCCUCAGGCCCCUCCUCCACCACUACCACAUAUCUACAACACACUGUGUGCUCUCAGGCCCCUCCUCCACCUAGAAAGCAGCAUGGAAUACAUCCCCAUUAUGUGAUAUAGUCGUUUUGAGCGAUUAAACAAAAUGUGGUUUAUUAUUAUUAUUAUUUUUUUUAUUAAUUAAAGAACUAACGGAUCAACAUCGGUUUAAUUAUUUAAAUUCCAUUUCGUUCUGUUUUUUUCCUCCUGUGAUCUCAAUGUGCACAUUGCACGGUUUCUUUAAAGAUGAAGCAGAUCAAGCCCGAACUGAGAGAUGUAGUAAGGAGUUGCAGUUUCCAACAGGCCAAAAUUCUACAUAGUUUAUCAGAUGUAGUAGGGAGUUGUAGUUUCCAACAGGCCAGCAUUCUACAUAGUUUAUCAGAUGUAGUAGGGAGUUGUAGUUUCCAACAGGCCA